RNAcentral lists this ribosomal RNA (2112 nucleotides) under Escherichia coli. RNAcentral's name for it is "partial 23S ribosomal RNA". It matches the Rfam family "Bacterial large subunit ribosomal RNA", at positions 1 to 2136 of the family's 2925-position model. Lineage: Bacteria; Pseudomonadati; Pseudomonadota; Gammaproteobacteria; Enterobacterales; Enterobacteriaceae. The record is from RNAcentral.
GGUUAAGCGACUAAGCGUACACGGUGGAUGCCCUGGCAGUCAGAGGCGAUGAAGGACGUGCUAAUCUGCGAUAAGCGUCGGUAAGGUGAUAUGAACCGUUAUAACCGGCGAUUUCCGAAUGGGGAAACCCAGUGUGUUUCGACACACUAUCAUUAACUGAAUCCAUAGGUUAAUGAGGCGAACCGGGGGAACUGAAACAUCUAAGUACCCCGAGGAAAAGAAAUCAACCGAGAUUCCCCCAGUAGCGGCGAGCGAACGGGGAGCAGCCCAGAGCCUGAAUCAGUGUGUGUGUUAGUGGAAGCGUCUGGAAAGGCGCGCGAUACAGGGUGACAGCCCCGUACACAAAAAUGCACAUGCUGUGAGCUCGAUGAGUAGGGCGGGACACGUGGUAUCCUGUCUGAAUAUGGGGGGACCAUCCUCCAAGGCUAAAUACUCCUGACUGACCGAUAGUGAACCAGUACCGUGAGGGAAAGGCGAAAAGAACCCCGGCGAGGGGAGUGAAAAAGAACCUGAAACCGUGUACGUACAAGCAGUGGGAGCACGCUUAGGCGUGUGACUGCGUACCUUUUGUAUAAUGGGUCAGCGACUUAUAUUCUGUAGCAAGGUUAACCGAAUAGGGGAGCCGAAGGGAAACCGAGUCUUAACUGGGCGUUAAGUUGCAGGGUAUAGACCCGAAACCCGGUGAUCUAGCCAUGGGCAGGUUGAAGGUUGGGUAACACUAACUGGAGGACCGAACCGACUAAUGUUGAAAAAUUAGCGGAUGACUUGUGGCUGGGGGUGAAAGGCCAAUCAAACCGGGAGAUAGCUGGUUCUCCCCGAAAGCUAUUUAGGUAGCGCCUCGUGAAUUCAUCUCCGGGGGUAGAGCACUGUUUCGGCAAGGGGGUCAUCCCGACUUACCAACCCGAUGCAAACUGCGAAUACCGGAGAAUGUUAUCACGGGAGACACACGGCGGGUGCUAACGUCCGUCGUGAAGAGGGAAACAACCCAGACCGCCAGCUAAGGUCCCAAAGUCAUGGUUAAGUGGGAAACGAUGUGGGAAGGCCCAGACAGCCAGGAUGUUGGCUUAGAAGCAGCCAUCAUUUAAAGAAAGCGUAAUAGCUCACUGGUCGAGUCGGCCUGCGCGGAAGAUGUAACGGGGCUAAACCAUGCACCGAAGCUGCGGCAGCGACGCUGAUGCGUUGUUGGGUAGGGGAGCGUUCUGUAAGCCUGCGAAGGUGUGCUGUGAGGCAUGCUGGAGGUAUCAGAAGUGCGAAUGCUGACAUAAGUAACGAUAAAGCGGGUGAAAAGCCCGCUCGCCGGAAGACCAAGGGUUCCUGUCCAACGUUAAUCGGGGCAGGGUGAGUCGACCCCUAAGGCGAGGCCGAAAGGCGUAGUCGAUGGGAAACAGGUUAAUAUUCCUGUACUUGGUGUUACUGCGAAGGGGGGACGGAGAAGGCUAUGUUGGCCGGGCGACGGUUGUCCCGGUUUAAGCGUGUAGGCUGGUUUUCCAGGCAAAUCCGGAAAAUCAAGGCUGAGGCGUGAUGACGAGGCACUACGGUGCUGAAGCAACAAAUGCCCUGCUUCCAGGAAAAGCCUCUAAGCAUCAGGUAACAUCAAAUCGUACCCCAAACCGACACAGGUGGUCAGGUAGAGAAUACCAAGGCGCUUGAGAGAACUCGGGUGAAGGAACUAGGCAAAAUGGUGCCGUAACUUCGGGAGAAGGCACGCUGAUAUGUAGGUGAAGUCCCUUGCGGAUGGAGCUGAAAUCAGUCGAAGAUACCAGCUGGCUGCAACUGUUUAUUAAAAACACAGCACUGUGCAAACACGAAAGUGGACGUAUACGGUGUGACGCCUGCCCGGUGCCGGAAGGUUAAUUGAUGGGGUUAGCCGCAAGGCGAAGCUCUUGAUCGAAGCCCCGGUAAACGGCGGCCGUAACUAUAACGGUCCUAAGGUAGCGAAAUUCCUUGUCGGGUAAGUUCCGACCUGCACGAAUGGCGUAAUGAUGGCCAGGCUGUCUCCACCCGAGACUCAGUGAAAUUGAACUCGCUGUGAAGAUGCAGUGUACCCGCGGCAAGACGGAAAGACCCCGUGAACCUUUACUAUAGCUUGACACUGAACAUUGAGCCUUGAUG